GUCCCAGGCACGAGGCGGCGAACUCCCCCAAAGGCAGAGAUUUUGGCACCUGCGUCCUCGGCUGCUGGGUCCGGCCCCAAGCAGGCACGCGGCCCGCAGGUGCCGGGCGAAUGUCGGCGGAAAGCACUAUGCUCACAGGGAAGGA
MicroRNA precursor from Equus asinus (donkey), 145 nucleotides. The record is from Ensembl. NCBI's taxonomy places the organism in Eukaryota, Metazoa, Chordata, Mammalia, Perissodactyla, Equidae.